This 1468-nucleotide ribosomal RNA is filed under the name uncultured rumen bacterium. Its description in RNAcentral is "16S ribosomal RNA". It matches the Rfam family "Bacterial small subunit ribosomal RNA". The record is from RNAcentral.
AGAGUUUGAUCCUGGCUCAGAAUGAACGCUAGCUACAGGCUUAACACAUGCAAGUCGAGGGGCAGCAUGAUUCUAGCUUGCUAGAAUUGAUGGCGACCGGCGCACGGGUGAGUAACGCGUAUCCAACCUUCCCCUUAGUAGGGCAUAGCCCGUAGAAAUGCGGAUUAAUACCCUAUGUUGUUCGAAGCGGGCAUCUAAUUCGAACCAAAGGUUCUCCGCUAAGGGAUGGGGAUGCGUCUGAUUAGGAAGUAGGCGGGGCAACGGCCCACCUAUCCUUCGAUCAGUAGGGGUUCUGAGAGGAAGGUCCCCCACACUGGUACUGAGACACGGACCAGACUCCUACGGGAGGCAGCAGUGAGGAAUAUUGGUCAAUGGGCGGAAGCCUGAACCAUUUUUUUUUUUGUGCAGGAUGACGGCCCUACGGGUUGUAAACUGCUUUUACGGGGGGAUAAACGGCGGGACUUGUCCUGCCCUGCAGGUACCCCGUGAAUAAGGACCGGCUAAUUCCGUGCCAGCAGCCGCGGUAAUACGGAAGGUCCUGGCGUUAUCCGGAUUUAUUGGGUUUAAAGGGAGCGCAGGCUGCCCGUUAAGCGUGACGUGAAAUGCAGUUGCUCAACAUCUGCACUGCGGCGCGAACUGGUGGGCUUGAGUACACUGUAAGUGGGUGGAAUUCGUGGUGUAGCGGUGAAAUGCUUAGAUAUCACGAAGAACUCCGAUUGCAAAGGCAGCUCACUGUCGUGUCACUGACGCUGAGGCUCGAAGGUGCGGGUAUCGAACAGGAUUAGAUACCCUGGUAGUCCGCACGGUAAACGAUGGAUGCCCGCUGUUUGCCUUUCUGGCAAGCGGCCAAGCGAAAGCGUUAAGCAUCCCACCUGGGGAGUACGCCGGCAACGGUGAAACUCAAAGGAAUUGACGGGGGCCCGCACAAGCGGAGGAACAUGUGGUUUAAUUCGAUGAUACGCGAGGAACCUUACCCGGGCUUGAACUGCCGGCGAACGAUUCAGAGAUGAUGAGGCCCUUCGGGGCGCCGGUGGAGGUGCUGCAUGGUUGUCGUCAGCUCGUGCCGUGAGGUGUCGGCUUAAGUGCCAUAACGAGCGCAACCCCUGCCUACAGUUGCCAUCGGGUGAUAAAAAGGCACUCUGUAGGGACUGCCACCGCAAGGUGCGAGGAAGGUGGGGAUGACGUCAAAUCAGCACGGCCCUUACGUCCGGGGCUACACACGUGUUACAAUGGGGGGUACAGCGAGUCAGGCGCUGGCAACAUCGCCUUAAUCAUGAAAUCCCCCCUCAGUUCGGACUGGGGUCUGCAACCCGACCCCACGAAGCUGGAUUCGCUAGUAAUCGCGCAUCAUCCAGAGGGCGGUGAAUACGUUCCCGGGCCUUGUACACACCGCCCGUCAAGCCAUGAAAGCCUGGGGCGCCUGAAGUCCGUCACCGCGAGGGUCGGCCUAGGGUGAAACAGGUGAUGG